RNA transcript from Musa acuminata subsp. malaccensis (wild Malaysian banana), 1024 nucleotides. It is a transcript of the gene named putative RNA methyltransferase At5g10620, with no coding region annotated. The record is from RefSeq and is a predicted model, not a curated record. Lineage: Eukaryota; Viridiplantae; Streptophyta; Magnoliopsida; Zingiberales; Musaceae.
CUCUCCUCUUCUCUGUUGCCGAAUGGAAGUCUCUCGGUGGAGCCAAUGCUACGCCGUCUUCUCCCAGAUGAAGAAGAACACCUCUGCUCCCUUGCUAGCCAAGAAAUCCAAAUACUCUGGCCAAUCAAUUAGAGCAAUUCCGAUUCGAAUAUUGACGGUGGGCAAGAGGAGGUCUCCAGGGGUGCAGCUUUUGGUCGAGGAGUACAUGGAGAAGCUCAGGUACUAUUGCAGCGUCGAGGAUGUCCAUGUAAAGUCUAAUCCAAAAAGUAGCAGCAAUGUGAAAGCUCAGAUUGAUGCAGAAGACAUGGUCAUUAUGCAACAGAUCAGACAUGAAGAUUGGGUUGUUGUGUUGGAUGAGCAUGGACUAGAUGUCGGAUCUGAGCAGUUAGCUGAUUUAUUGGGUGAUGCAGGAAGAACAGGUUCAACAAGACUUGCCUUUUGCAUUGGCGGCCCAUAUGGUCAUGGACCACAGUUGCGGAAUCGUGCCGAUGUAACGAUUCGAUUAUCUUCAAUGGUGUUGAAUCACCAGAUUGCAUUAAUUGUGUUGUUGGAGCAACUUUAUAGAUCAUGGACAAUCAUCAAAGGCCAGAAGUACCAUCAUUAGGAUGCUUAUCAGUCUUCUUGAUUUCGUGGCAAUUUCCUGGUAAAGUUGCAGUAUGCAAAGAUUCCAAGUUUUGCUUGUUGACUUUGCAGAGUGAGCAUCAAUCGACCUGUUGAAGCUGGCAUUUUAAUUAUCCAGAAAAAAAGCUGUCCAUAAAGCAUCCACCCAAGAUGAGAUGUGUAGUAAUUCAGAGCACUCGAUGAUGCCACCACUUCCACCUGCAAAUCCCAGACUGAUCAUGGAGUUCACACAGGACAGGAUGAGUUGCUCUGCAACAAUCACAGACAUGGGAUUAUUUUCCUAUCACGGUCGUGCCAUCCUUGUAGCAUGGACCUGUUAAAUUGUAUAUGAAGAAUUGGUUUUUUGUACGUCAUCUCGUUGCUUCCUGAUUGUGUUAUAUACAUGUGGAGGUAUUUGUUUUGA